UCUGGUUGAUCCUGCCAGUUGUCAUAUGCUUGUUUCAAGGACUAAGCCAUGCAAGUGUGAGAGUACUCGGGGUUUACCUCGAGAGGUCUGUGUACGGCUCAUUAAACGGUUUAUUGUCUCCCCAACGAAGGAUGUGCAUUUGCCAGCCCUACGGGAUAACUUUGCAAAAUGCAAAGCUAAUACCUGUAAGAAAAACCUCACACCUCCAAAACGAUCGGGUGAAUUCUGUUCCCUGGUCGUGGUGUGCGGGUGCGCUUCGCCGAAACAAAGACCAACGCCGUUUUGGCAGCACCUACUGUUGAGGCAGGCGAAUGUCGCGAAAGCGCGUUCAGCGCGUUGUUGGACGAAUUUACCACCUAUCAGGUAGAGGGUAGUAUAGUUGACUACCUUGCCAUUGACGGGUAACGGAGAAUUGGGGUUCGAUUCCGGAGAGGGUGCUUGAGAAAUGGCAACCAUGACUACGGUCAGCAGCAGGCGCGCAAAUUGCCCAAUGCCAAUACUGGCGAGGCAGCGACGAAAAAUAAUAACUUUGAUGCAUUAUGUGUAUCAAAGAUUGCAAUGGACUGUAUUUAGAAACACUGAUGAGUAUCUAUUGGAGGGCAAGUCUGGUGCCAGCAGCCGCGGUAAUUCCAGCUCCAAGAGCGUAUAUAAAUGUUGUUGCGGUUAAAAAGCCCGUAGUUGGAUUUGAGAUUAUCGCCUUUGAAUUCUGCUCGGGGUCCACACCCAGAUGUCAGGACUCAAAAAACGGUGAUGAUCUGUUUGAUGCGGGAACGGACAUCUGCUGAAUACCUCUUCGGGGGUGUGUAGGCAAUUUCGGAGUCUCGACGCUCCAAAGAUGCGCCCGCAGUCGUCACUGUGAGUAAAUCAGAGUGUUCAAGGCAACUCCUUGUUGAGUUGAAUGUUAAAGCAUGGAAUGACAAGGGAUCGACCACUGAAUGGCCUCUUUUUGUUGGUUUUUAACCUUCAGUGAGGCAAAUCUGUGGAAGGGCUUUCCGCUGCAAAGACUUCGGUCUUUUGUAUGAACCCUUCUGCGCACGGGAUCAAUAGGAGCACAGGGGGCCGUGAGUACUGGAGGGUGAGUGGUGAAAUACAGAGACCCCUCCAAGACUGACAUCAGCGAAGCACUCGGCUAUUGUGCUUUCAUUAAUCAAGGACGAGAGAUAGGGGAUCGAAGAGGAUUAGACACCCUCGUAGUCCUUUCCUUAAAUUCUGCAGACUUGGGAUCGGUCAGUGUUCAACCUUUUGGCCUGAUCGGCACCUUCCUUCCCUACCGAGAAAUCAAAGUCUUUGUGUUCCGGGGGGAGUACAUUCGCAAGGCUGAAACUUAAAGGAAUUGACGGAGAACCACCACCAGUCGUGGAUUGUGUGGCUUAAUUCGACCCAACACGGGAAAUUUUACCAGCGCAUGACAGGGUCAGGAUUGCCAAGCUAAAGCCUUUGCUUGAUUCCCUGAAGGGUGGUGCAUGGCCGCUUCUGGUUGGUGAAUGUGAUUUGUCUGCUUAAUUGCGAUAACGAACGAGAUCUCUGCCAA
Molecule: ribosomal RNA, 1531 nt
Filed under: metagenome
Description: SSU rRNA
Rfam family: Eukaryotic small subunit ribosomal RNA
Source: RNAcentral